AGACACCAGCGAGAUUCGAACUCGCGACCCCUGGUUUACGAGACCUGUGAUCUAACCUCUGAGCUAUGGUUAC
RNAcentral lists this transfer RNA (73 nucleotides) under Araneus ventricosus. RNAcentral describes it as "tRNA-Thr". The record is from RNAcentral. Lineage: Eukaryota; Metazoa; Arthropoda; Arachnida; Araneae; Araneidae.